GCCCGGAGAUAGCUGGUUCUCCCCGAAAUAGCUUUAGGGCUAGCCUCAAGGUGAGAGAUACGGAGGUAGAGCACUGAAUGUCCUAGGGGGUAUUGCACCUACCGAAGACUAUCAAACUCCGAAUGCCGUCAUCUUAUACUUGGGAGUCAGACUGUGGGUGAUAAGAUUCAUAGUCGAAAGGGCAACAGCCCAGAUCGUCAGCUAAGGUCCCUAAAUGUAAGUUAAGUGGUAAAGGAUGUGGGAUUGCACAGACAACCAGGAUGUUGGCUUAGAAGCAGCCACUCAUUCAAAGAGUGCGUAAUAGCUCACUGGUCGAGUGAUCCUGCGCCGAAGAUUUCCGGGGCUAAAAAUAACUACCGAGGCUACGGAAUCAUUAUGAGGGGUAGGGGAGCUUCCCAUACGGGUUGAGGCAUGACAGAAAGGACAGGUGGACAGGAUGGGAGGGAGAAGGUGGGCAUGAGUGGCGGGAUGUGGGUGGGAAUCCCGCAGGCCGUAAACCCAAGGUUUCCAGGGGAAGGUUCGUCCGCCCUGGGUUAGUCGGGCCCUAAGCUGAGGCCGAAAGGCGUAGGUGAUGGACAACAGGUUGAUAUUCCUGUACUACCGAUAACCGUUUGAGAGAAGGGAUGACACAGUAGGAUAAGCUAAGCACACUGUUG
Molecule: ribosomal RNA, 656 nt
Filed under: Clostridioides difficile
Lineage: Bacteria; Bacillati; Bacillota; Clostridia; Peptostreptococcales; Peptostreptococcaceae
Description: bacterial LSU rRNA
Rfam family: Bacterial large subunit ribosomal RNA
Source: RNAcentral